Molecule: ribosomal RNA, 731 nt
Filed under: uncultured bacterium
Lineage: Bacteria
Description: bacterial SSU rRNA
Rfam family: Bacterial small subunit ribosomal RNA
Source: RNAcentral
AACAGGAUUAGAUACCCUGGUAGUCCACGCUGUAAACGAUGUCGACUUGGAGGUUGUGCCCUUGAGGCGUGGCUUCCGGAGCUAACGCGUUAAGUCGACCGCCUGGGGAGUACGGCCGCAAGGUUAAGACUCAAAUGAAUUGACGGGGGCCCGCACAAGCGGUGGAGCAUGUGGUUUAAUUCGAUGCAACGCGAAGAACCUUACCUACUCUUGACAUCCAGAGAAUUUAGCAGAGAUGCUUUAGUGCCUUCGGGAACUCUGAGACAGGUGCUGCAUGGCUGUCGUCAGCUCGUGUUGUGAAAUGUUGGGUUAAGUCCCGCAACGAGCGCAACCCUUAUCCUUUGUUGCCAGCACGUAAUGGUGGGAACUCAAAGGAGACUGCCGGUGAUAAACCGGAGGAAGGUGGGGAUGACGUCAAGUCAUCAUGGCCCUUACGAGUAGGGCUACACACGUGCUACAAUGGCAUAUACAAAGAGAAGCGAACUCGCGAGAGCAAGCGGACCUCAUAAAGUAUGUCGUAGUCCGGAUUGGAGUCUGCAACUCGACUCCAUGAAGUCGGAAUCGCUAGUAAUCGUAGAUCAGAAUGCUACGGUGAAUACGUUCCCGGGCCUUGUACACACCGCCCGUCACACCAUGGGAGUGGGUUGCAAAAGAAGUAGGUAGCUUAACCUUCGGGAGGGCGCUUACCACUUUGUGAUUCAUGACUGGGGUGAAGUCGUAACAAGGUAACC